Molecule: ribosomal RNA, 497 nt
Filed under: uncultured bacterium
Lineage: Bacteria
Description: partial 16S ribosomal RNA
Rfam family: Bacterial small subunit ribosomal RNA
Source: RNAcentral
GAUGAACGCUGGCGGCGUGCCUAAUACAUGCAAGUCGAGCGAACAGAUGAGGAGCUUGCUCCUCUGACGUUAGCGGCGGAUGGGUGAGUAACACGUGGAUAACCUACCUAUAAGACUGGGAUAACUUCGGGAGACCGGAGCUAAUACCGGAUAAUAUAUUGAACCGCAUGGUUCAAUAGUGAAAGACGGUUUUGCUGUCACUUAUAGAUGGAUCCGCGCCGCAUUAGCUAGUUGGUAAGGUAACGGCUUACCAAGGCAACGAUGCGUAGCCGACCUGAGAGGGUGAUCGGCCACACUGGAACUGAGACACGGUCCAGACUCCUACGGGAGGCAGCAGUAGGGAAUCUUCCGCAAUGGGCGAAAGCCUGACGGAGCAACGCCGCGUGAGUGAUGAAGGUCUUCGGAUCGUAAAACUCUGUUAUUAGGGAAGAACAAAUGUGUAAGUAACUAUGCACGUCUUGACGGUACCUAAUCAGAAAGCCACGGCUAACUACGUG